RNAcentral lists this ribosomal RNA (449 nucleotides) under uncultured bacterium. Its description in RNAcentral is "bacterial SSU rRNA". It matches the Rfam family "Bacterial small subunit ribosomal RNA", at positions 328 to 794 of the family's 1533-position model. The record is from RNAcentral.
GGGCCAGACUCCUACGGGAGGCAGCAGUGGGGAAUAUUGCACAAUGGGGGAAACCCUGAUGCAGCGACGCCGCGUGAGUGAAGAAGUCUUUCGGUAUGUAAAGCGCUAUCAGCAGGGAAGAUAAUGACGGUACCUGACUAAGAAGCCCCGGCUAACUACGUGCCAGCAGCCGCGGUAAUACGUAGGUGGCAAGCGUUGUCCGGAAUUACUGGGUUUAAAGGGAGCGCAGGCGGGAAGCCAAGUCAGCUGUGAAAACUACGGGCUUAACUUGUAGACUGCAGUUGAAACUGGUUUUCUUGAGUGAAGUAGAGGUUGGCGGAAUUCCGAGUGUAGCGGUGAAAUUCGUAGAUAUUCGGAGGAACACCGGUGGCGAAGGCGGCCAACUGGGCUUUAACUGACGCUGAGGCUCGAAAGUGUGGGGAGCCAACAGGAUUAGAUACCCGAGUAAC